UUGUUUCGGUAGUUGCGACCCGAAUUUGAUUUUUAUAGUUACAAAAGCAGAGUUGUUCGACCAAUUCAGGUUUGUGAGUGAGCAACAUUAACAAGAUGAAGAACAUCAUAGAACAAGAUGAAUAUCAGCAACAUAGAACAAGAUGAAGAACAACAUAUAUAGAAUAACACAAAAAUCCACAAAAAUAAGGUCAUGAAAUAUCAAUUUCAGAAAGAAUUAAAGAGGGUCAAAUUGAAGUCCUGAAAUAUCAAUUUCAGGUUCAGAUACAUAUAAUUAGGCUCAAAUAUGGAGAAA
This 294-nucleotide long non-coding RNA is filed under the name Trifolium pratense (red clover). RNAcentral describes it as "long non-coding RNA (TPRA_LNC007034)". The record is from RNAcentral. Lineage: Eukaryota; Viridiplantae; Streptophyta; Magnoliopsida; Fabales; Fabaceae.